Molecule: ribosomal RNA, 492 nt
Filed under: uncultured bacterium
Lineage: Bacteria
Description: partial 16S ribosomal RNA
Rfam family: Bacterial small subunit ribosomal RNA
Source: RNAcentral
AGUGAACGCUGGCGGUAGGCCUAACACAUGCGAGUCGAACGGCAGCACAGUAAGAGCUUGCUCUUACGGGUGGCGAGUGGCGGACGGGUGAGGAAUACAUCGGAAUCUACUUUUUCGUGGGGGAUAACGUAGGGAAACUUACGCUAAUACCGCAUACGACCUACGGGUGAAAGCAGGGGAUCUUCGGACCUUGCGCGAUUGAAUGAGCCGAUGUCGGAUUAGCUAGUUGGCGGGGUAAAGGCCCACCAAGGCGACGAUCCGUAGCUGGUCUGAGAGGAUGAUCAGCCACACUGGAACUGAGACACGGUCCAGACUCCUACGGGAGGCAGCAGUGGGGAAUAUUCGACAAUGGGCGCAAGCCUGAUCCAGCCAUACCGCGUGGGUGAAGAAGGCCUUCGGGUUGUAAAGCCCUUUUGUUGGGAAAGAAAAGCAGCAGGUUAAUACCCCGCUGUUCUGACGGUACCCAAAGAAUAAGCACCGGCUAACUUCGUG